UACGAAGGGGGCUAGCGUUGUUCGGAAUCACUGGGCGUAAAGCGCACGCAGGCGGAUCGAUAAGUCGGGGGUGAAAGCCCGGGGCUCAACCUCGGAAUUGCCUUCGAUACUGUCGGUCUCGAGUCCGGGAGAGGUGAGUGGAAUUCCUAGUGUAGAGGUGAAAUUCGUAGAUAUUAGGAAGAACACUAGUGGCGAAGGCGGGUCUCUGGCCCGGUACUGACGCUCAGGUGCGAAAGCGUGGGGAGCAAACAGG
RNAcentral lists this ribosomal RNA (253 nucleotides) under uncultured bacterium. Its description in RNAcentral is "partial 16S ribosomal RNA". It matches the Rfam family "Bacterial small subunit ribosomal RNA", at positions 524 to 776 of the family's 1533-position model. The record is from RNAcentral.